This 63-nucleotide transfer RNA is filed under the name Creobroter elongata. Its description in RNAcentral is "tRNA-Pro". RNAcentral also lists the same sequence under 1 other name. The record is from RNAcentral. Lineage: Eukaryota; Metazoa; Arthropoda; Insecta; Mantodea; Hymenopodidae.
CAAAGGAUAGUUUAAUAAAAAUAUUAGUUUUGGGAAUUAAUGAUAAGAAUUUCUUUCCUUUGA